This 135-nucleotide small nucleolar RNA is filed under the name Anser cygnoides (Swan goose). Its description in RNAcentral is "Small nucleolar RNA SNORA61 (ENSACDG00005002136.1)". It matches the Rfam family "Small nucleolar RNA SNORA61". Rfam says of the family: ACA61 is a member of the H/ACA class of snoRNA that guide the sites of modification of uridines to pseudouridines. The record is from Rfam by way of RNAcentral. Lineage: Eukaryota; Metazoa; Chordata; Aves; Anseriformes; Anatidae.
UCCCUCCAUAUCCCUUUCCCAUCGGAUCUGAAUACCGGUCUUGUGGUCAAAAAAGGAGGAAAAGGAAAAUUCAAACUGGUCUUGGCCUUUUUGCUGGUACAUCCCAGCUCUGAGAGGGGCCAGUUUGAUGACAGU